RNAcentral lists this transfer RNA (73 nucleotides) under Podosphaera xanthii. Its description in RNAcentral is "tRNA-Gln". It matches the Rfam family "tRNA". Rfam says of the family: Transfer RNA (tRNA) molecules are approximately 80 nucleotides in length. Their secondary structure includes four short double-helical elements and three loops (D, anti-codon, and T loops). RNAcentral also lists the same sequence under 1 other name. Lineage: Eukaryota; Fungi; Ascomycota; Leotiomycetes; Helotiales; Erysiphaceae. The record is from RNAcentral.
UCUGAAAUAGACUAAUAGGUAGGUCAUGGAUUUUUGAUGUUCAGCUGUGAGUGUUCGAAUCACUCUUUCAGAA